This 3159-nucleotide long non-coding RNA is filed under the name Sus scrofa (pig). RNAcentral describes it as "lncRNA (ENSSSCG00005003511.1)". Lineage: Eukaryota; Metazoa; Chordata; Mammalia; Artiodactyla; Suidae. The record is from RNAcentral.
CCAAUUAUAGUGGUCAGCAUUCCCAAGACAAUGUUAUGUAACAGUAAUGCUAGCCAGACCUUUUCUGAUUCAUGACUUUUUAAAAGGAAUUUAGUAUUUCACUGAAUACUAAAAUAGAAAUUCUAGUAUUUUACCAUUUCUAGUAACAAAAUGCUGGCUUCUGGUCUGAGAUAUAUAAAACCUUAGCUAAGUUAACUCAUUCUUAUUUUACUAAGGACUCUUAUUAGAAAUAAAUGUUAGAGUUCCUGUUGUAGCUCAGGGGUAGAGAACCUGACUAGUAUCCAUGAGGAUGUGGGUUUGAACCCUGGACCCGCUCAGUGGGUUAUGGAUCUGGUGUUGCUCCGAGCUGUGGUAUAGGUUGGAGAUGUGGCUCCGAUUUGACCCUAGCCUGGGAACUUCCAUAUGCCCCAGACGUAGCCCUAUUAAAAAAAAAAAAAAAGAAAUGUUGAUUCCCCCUCUUUUGAUAUCCCUCAGGAUAGUCAUACGCCCCCACCUACUAAUGAGUUAAUUUGAUUUAUCUUUACAUUCUUAGAGUACAUUACAUUCUGAGUAAUUCCUACUGUUAUAGUAUUAUUAUGUUAAUGUAAUGUACAUUCUAUUUGAUAGUUUUACUAAGCAUUCUUUGCACCAACUUUUGUGAGACUGGUGUGUAAUUUUCUUUACAUACCUAUGUUAUGCUGGCUUUGUAAAAAGAACCAGGAAGCUUACCUUUUUUCCCCCUCUAAGUUCUGAAAUUAAUUAUCUGGUGCUUUUUGCAGUAAUAUUCUCAUACCAGUAAGACCAGCAUUUUUAUUCGUGGCUCCAGAUCCUUUCUUUCACAUUUGCUUGAGGAAACCAACACCCUUUCUUUUCAAUCUCUCACUUCAACCUAUGAACAUGUUUAAGUCUUAACUAUCCUAAACAUACAUCCAUGUACACACUCGUACCACAAAAUUUUUCCUUACCAGUUGUCUUCAGUAAGUAUUUAUUCACACAUUUUAAGGUAUUAAAAUUGCUACUUUAUUCAAGGCACUGCAAAUGAAAUGCAGUUCCUGUGCUCUACCUAUUCCCAAUCCAGUAAGGAACACAAAUAAAUAUACAAAAACUGCCAAGAACGAUGCAAGGAAUAAACAGGCUAUGCUAGGCCACCUCUCUCUUACUGCGUGCCUUGCCAAACUUCUCUACUGUGUAUGCUAUGGCCUCAACUUUGUUUUCAAUUGCCUUCAAAUUUCCUCCCUUGAUAAUAGUUUUAUUCAAAUCACCAAAUCCAAUCAACUUUUCAGCAUCCUCAUCUACCAUUUUUCCAUAACUUUGCUACUUGAGUCAUGAACCUUUUAAUAAAUCCAAUUAGACCUUCAAAUGUACUCAGUUAAAUUUUGUUUUCUAAAAGGAAGGUCACAAAAUAUUUUCAUUCACAAAGUAAGUUUUAUUAAGGCCACACCCAGGCUAGGGGUCAAAUAGAAAAUACAACUGCCAGCCUACAUCACAAUUGCAGCAACAGGGGAUCCAAGUCAUGUCUGUGACCUACACCACAGCUCAUGGCAACGCCGGAUCCUUAGCCCACUGAGUAAGGCCACAGAUUGAACCUCUGUCCUCAUAGAUAUUAGUCGGGUUCAUUACCAUUGAGCCACAAUAGGAACUCCCUCAUUAUAUAAUUUGAUCCUCAUGAAAAAUCAUCAAGAAGGACCAGGUAGUUAUUACUCUCAUUUGCAAGGUUUGGAAACUAAGUACUUUACUGAUUAUCGAAACUCCAAUAAGCAGCAGAGUUAGGGCUAGAAAUGUAAUUUGUGGCUUUCUAAUUCCAGGUCUAGGUUUCUUUCCUCUACAUUUUAUUAACUUGAUUGAUUAAUUACUAACUUGAAUGCUUACUGAUCAUUCUCUUCUUGAAAACUUUUCUGGUCAACACUGCACAUUCUUCUAGUUUCCUAGGUUCCUUAUUUUCAUGCUUCUUAGUCAAAAGGAGGUAGGAACAAACUUAUGACAUUCAUUCUCUCAUUUCUUCCUCUGGCAUCUCAUCUACACUUACAGCAUAAUCUAGGAAGAAGCUCCUUUAAAUUGUAAUUUAAACUUUCUGCUCUACUUGAUGAAACUUUAACAUUCAGAAUCAUAGAAUUUGAUGCUGAAAGGGCCUUAGAGAUUAUGUAGUCCAACAUCCUUAUUUAAUAGAAGAAAAACAUAAAUUUCAACACAUAGAAGUCAGUAGCAGAAUCUGAAUAAACGUUUAAGAUAUUUCCCUUUUUAAACUUAUGAAUCAUAAAAUAAAUAAUACAUAUACAGCAUAUUUAUGUACAGUAAGUAGAAAGCAAAUGAAUUUUAAGAGUAAUUAUUGGACAUUCUUGUUAAAGACACUUGUCCGUAUUUCUAAUAUGACAACAAUAAUGUAUGAUUCCAUUUAUCAAAGUAGUUUAAGAAAAUCACAGAAUGUCAAAAAAGUUAAAACCUAGUCAAUUCUUUAUAUUCAGGCAUUAAUUAUUUAUCUUCCAGAUUUUUCUUAAGUAAACUGGGAAUCAAAAUCACACCACUACCUAGCCUAAUGCUUCUGACCUAGGUUGAUAUCAUGACCCACUUUACAAGGCAGGAACAGAUACCACUAGACUGCUGAAAACCACUUAGAUCAGUGCCUGGCACGUGGUAAGCAGGGAAAAUAUGUCAGCUAGGACUGCAGCUACAACAAUUACUACUUCUGAUUAUAUUCAUGUUAUUAUAAAUAUGGCCAUAUUAAUGAUUCAACCAUACAGACAAGCAUCCUUUUAGAGGACCCGUACCUCACUCUACUCCUUUCGGUCUAAUGGCGAGGUUUUGUUCCACAACCUAAGCAGGGCCACAACCCUUAGUUAUCUAAGAAUACCUUUCCAACCACUCCCAACCCAGAAGUACUUUAAUAUCUCAACAUCAGAGCCCAGAGGCUCUGAAAAUUAAGAGUGCAUUUAAAGGGAAAUUUUCUAAGCCAACACUUCUAAACUUACAAGCUCAUUUAUGCAUGAUAUGGAACACAUGAAAAAUAAAAGGGACUCUCACUUGAAGAUCUUCUUCCUCUCAAUUGUGCUUAAGUUUAAACUAAAACUCUUCUCCAAAUGAGCUUCCCUGCUUCAACUUCCCAUUUUUAUCAGAAAUAGCAAUUUUCUCUUUAGCCUAAAAACUGAAAUUACCUUAACUCUUCUCCUGCCUUUCUUUACCUUU